GCCAAAUAACUACGAGUACAGACUUAAAAUUUAAAAGACUUGACGGUACCCCAUAACAACCUAGAGGAGCCUGUCAAAUAACCGAUAAUCCACGAUUAACCCUACCCCCCCUAGCCCAACAGUCUAUAUACCACCGUCGCCAGCCCACCUUGUGAAAGAAACUAAAGUGGGCUAAACAGCCACAUGCUAACACGACAGGUCGAGGUGUAACUAAUGGGUGGGUCAAAGAUGGGCUACAUUUUCUAACACAGAAAAUACGAAUAAACUAUGAAAUAAGAAACUGAAGGCGGAUUUAGCAGUAUACUAAGAACAACAUACCUAGUCGAAACUAAUGCAAUGAGGUGCGUACACACCGCCCGUCAUCCCUGUAAACUAACUAAAAACAUACAUAAAUUCAUAUAUAUCAACAACAGGGCAAGUCGUAACAAGGUAAGUGUACA
This 440-nucleotide ribosomal RNA is filed under the name Stenorrhina freminvillei. RNAcentral describes it as "partial 12S ribosomal RNA". It matches the Rfam family "Bacterial small subunit ribosomal RNA", at positions 871 to 1506 of the family's 1533-position model. The record is from RNAcentral. Lineage: Eukaryota; Metazoa; Chordata; Lepidosauria; Squamata; Colubridae.